Long non-coding RNA from Hippocampus comes (tiger tail seahorse), 251 nucleotides. RefSeq lists it as uncharacterized. The transcript is spliced from 2 exons. The record is from RefSeq and is a predicted model, not a curated record. Lineage: Eukaryota; Metazoa; Chordata; Actinopteri; Syngnathiformes; Syngnathidae.
CCUGGACCAGCAGUAAGUGCAACCAGUGUGGGGGCAUCCAGCCGUUCCCCCAGUAAGACUGUGGCCCCCCGUACAGCAGGCUCCACAGUCAGACAGAGGAAAGCAACGAGCAGCGGUACCCGCAGUGGUGGCAGGACCACUGGAUCGGCUGGUACCGGGGGAAUGUGGCGCUUUUACACCGAGGACUCGCCGGGUCUCAAAGUGUAAGUAUAUUGUCAGAAAAGCUGUAACUAUAUGACCUCACCAGUAUA